AUAUCUUUCUCGGCCUUUUGGCUAAGAUCAAGUGUAGUAUCUGUUCUUAUCAGUUUAAUAUCUGAUAUGUGGAUUUUCAUGUCCACGUGAUAUUAGAUUAUUUUUUUAUGGGGAAGGAUCAGCAUAUGUAGCUUGCUACAUGGAUCCUUGUGUAUCGCCCUAGCGUUGCACUACUGCUAGGGCUUGAUGCACCCCAA
Triticum aestivum (bread wheat) is the source of this 197-nucleotide non-coding RNA. NCBI's taxonomy places the organism in Eukaryota, Viridiplantae, Streptophyta, Magnoliopsida, Poales, Poaceae. The record is from Rfam.